CGGGGAGUAGCGCAGCCCGGUAGCGCACUUGACUGGGGGUCAAGUGGUCGCGGGUUCAAAUCCCGCCUCCCCGACCA
This 77-nucleotide transfer RNA is filed under the name Actinobacteria bacterium 13_1_20CM_2_66_18. RNAcentral's name for it is "tRNA-Pro". It matches the Rfam family "tRNA". From Rfam's summary of the family: Transfer RNA (tRNA) molecules are approximately 80 nucleotides in length. Their secondary structure includes four short double-helical elements and three loops (D, anti-codon, and T loops). The record is from RNAcentral. Lineage: Bacteria; Bacillati; Actinomycetota. RNAcentral also lists the same sequence under 12 other names.